This 680-nucleotide ribosomal RNA is filed under the name uncultured bacterium. RNAcentral describes it as "bacterial SSU rRNA". It matches the Rfam family "Bacterial small subunit ribosomal RNA", at positions 62 to 743 of the family's 1533-position model. The record is from RNAcentral.
UCGAGGGGUAUAGGUUUUCGGACCUAGAGACCGGCGCACGGGUGCGUAACGCGUAUGCAAUCUACCUUUCACAGAGGGAUAGCCCAGAGAAAUUUGGAUUAAUACCUCAUAGUAUUACGAGAUGGCAUCAUUUUGUAAUUAAAGUCACAACGGUGAAAGAUGAGCAUGCGUCCCAUUAGCUUGUUGGUAAGGUAACGGCUUACCAAGGCUACGAUGGGUAGGGGUCCUGAGAGGGAGAUCCCCCACACUGGUACUGAGACACGGACCAGACUCCUACGGGAGGCAGCAGUGAGGAAUAUUGGUCAAUGGACGCAAGUCUGAACCAGCCAUGCCGCGUGCAGGAUGACGGUCCUAUGGAUUGUAAACUGCUUUUGCACAGGAAGAAACAACAUUACGUGUAAUGUCUUGACGGUACUGUGAGAAUAAGGAUCGGCUAACUCCGUGCCAGCAGCCGCGGUAAUACGGAGGAUCCAAGCGUUAUCCGGAAUCAUUGGGUUUAAAGGGUCCGUAGGCGGCUUAGUAAGUCAGUGGUGAAAGCCCAUCGCUCAACGGUGGAACGGCCAUUGAUACUGCUAGACUUGAAUUAUUAGGAAGUAACUAGAAUAUGUAGUGUAGCGGUGAAAUGCUUAGAGAUUACAUGGAAUACCAAUUGCGANNNCNGGUUACUACUAAUGGAUUGA